Molecule: ribosomal RNA, 1081 nt
Filed under: Petrotoga sibirica DSM 13575
Lineage: Bacteria; Thermotogati; Thermotogota; Thermotogae; Petrotogales; Petrotogaceae
Description: bacterial LSU rRNA
Rfam family: Bacterial large subunit ribosomal RNA
Source: RNAcentral
CCAAAGUAAUAAGGGCAUACGGUGGAUGCCUAGCCAGCUGGAAGCGAAGAAGGACGUGGUAAGCUGCGAAAAGCUGUGGGGAGCUGCAAACGAGCGAAGAUCCACAGAUAUCCGAAUGGGGAAACCUGCCGAAAGGCAUCCUGGAGACAGGAGGCGAAGCUGGGGAAGUGAAACAUCAUAGUACCCGGUGAAAAGAAAUCAAACGAGAUUCCCGGAGUAGCGGCGAGCGAAAGGGGAAGAGCCCAAACAGUAGCGAUGUAAAAGCGGGCAGGCGUUGUUGCUACUGGGUUGAGGGUAACAGCUACCCGAACUGCCAGAUAGGGGGUUGGAUAUAUAUAAGAAGUGGAAAGGCAUGGGAAGGCCUACCGGAGAAGGUGAAAGUCCUGUACACGUAAAUAUAUAUAUUCGACUGCUGUUAACCCGAGUAGCGUAGGACACGAGGAAUCCUGCGUGAAGCUGGGUGGACCUCCAUCCAAGGCUAAAGAGGACAGCUGAGCGAUAGUGGAGAAGUACCGUGAGGGAAAGGUGAAAAGGACCCCGGGAGGGGAGUGAAAGAGAACCUGAAACCGUAUGCCUACAGGAAGCGGGAGCGAAAGUGACCGCGUGCCUUUUGAUUAAUGAGCCUGCGAGUUAUUUUCGGUGGCGAGGUUAAGCCGGUAGGUGGAGCCGAAGGGAAACCGAGUAUGAAGAGUGCGACAGUCACCGGAAAUAGACCCGAAGCCAGGUGAGCUACCCAUGUGCAGGAUGAAGCUUGGGUAAAACCAAGUGGAGGUCCGAACUGGUGGAUAGUGAAAAAUCCUCAGAUGACAUGUGGGUAGGAGUGAAAAGCUAACCGAACCUGGGGAUAGCUGGUUCUCCCCGAAACGUGUGUAGGCACGGCCUCUGGAAAAGAGUUAUGGAGGUAGAGCACUGAAUGGUGUAGGGGGGUAGACCUCUGAAACCAAUCAAACUCCGAAUGCCAUAACUGGAUGCCAGGGAGAAAGACUAUGGGGAAUAAGCUUCAUGGUCGAGAGGGAAAGAGCCCAGACCGACAGCUAAGGUUCCGAAGAAGCGGCUAAGUGUGAAAGGAAGUGGACCUCUU